UACGUAGGGUGCGAGCGUUAAUCGGAAUUACUGGGCGUAAAGGGUGCGCAGGCGGUCCUGCAAGUCAGGCGUGAAAUCCCCGGGCUUAACCUGGGAAUGGCACUUGAAACUACGGGACUGGAGUAUGGCAGAGGGAGGUGGAAUUCCACGUGUAGCGGUGAAAUGCGUAGAGAUGUGGAGGAAUACCGGUGGCGAAGGCGGCAUCCUGGACCGAGAUUGACGCUGAUGAGCGAAAGCUAGGGGAGCAAACGGG
This 253-nucleotide ribosomal RNA is filed under the name uncultured bacterium. RNAcentral's name for it is "partial 16S ribosomal RNA". It matches the Rfam family "Bacterial small subunit ribosomal RNA", at positions 524 to 776 of the family's 1533-position model. The record is from RNAcentral.